Molecule: ribosomal RNA, 1424 nt
Filed under: metagenome
Description: bacterial LSU rRNA
Rfam family: Bacterial large subunit ribosomal RNA
Source: RNAcentral
UGUGAGUGGUAGGAGAGCGUUCUGUAAGCCUGCGAAGGUGUCUUGUAAAGGAUGCUGGAGGUAUCAGAAGUGCGAAUGCUGACAUGAGUAGCGUUAAAGGGGGUGAAGAGCCCCCUCGCCGAAAGCGCAAGGUUUCCUACGCAACGUUCAUCGGCGUAGGGUGAGUCGGCCCCUAAGGCGAGGCAGAGAUGCGUAGCUGAUGGGAAACAGGUUAAUAUUCCUGUACCGAUCUAUAGUGCGAUGUGGGGACGGAGAAGGUUAGCUCAGCCAACUGUUGGAUAUGUUGGUUCAAGCAUGUAGGCGUGCUCUUUAGGCAAAUCCGGAGAACUUAGCUGAGGUGUGAUAACGAGUCUGCUUGCAGACGAAGUGAGUGAUACCCUGCUUCCAGGAAAAGCCACUAAGCUUCAGCUAUAGAUUGACCGUACCGCAAACCGACACUGGUGCGCGAGAUGAGUAUUCUAAGGCGCUUGAGAGAACUCUGGAGAAGGAACUCGGCAAAUUGACACCGUAACUUCGGAAGAAGGUGUGCCUUUAGUAGGUGAACCAUUUACUUGGGGAGCCCAAUGAGGUCGCAGAGAAUCGGUGGCUGCAACUGUUUAAUAAAAACACAGCACUCUGCAAAGACGAAAGUCGACGUAUAGGGUGUGACGCCUGCCCGGUGCUGGAAGAUUAAUUGAUGGGGUGCAAGCUCUUGAUCGAAGUCCCAGUAAACGGCGGCCGUAACUAUAACGGUCCUAAGGUAGCGAAAUUCCUUGUCGGGUAAGUUCCGACCUGCACGAAUGGCGUAAUGAUGGCCACACUGUCUCCUCCAGAGACUCAGCGAAGUUGAAAUGCUUGUGAUGAUGCAAUCUCCCCGCGGAAAGACGGAAAGACCCCAUGAACCUUUACUGUAGCUUUACAUUGGACUUUGAACAGAUCUGUGUAGGAUAGGUGGGAGGCUUUGAAGCCAGGACGCUAGUUCUGGUGGAGCCAACGUUGAAAUACCACCCUGGUGUGUUUGAGGUUCUAACCUUGGCCCGUUAUCCGGGUUGGGGACAGUGUAUGGUGGGCAGUUUGACUGGGGCGGUCUCCUCCCAAAGUGUAACGGAGGAGUUCGAAGGUACGCUAGAUACGGUCGGAAAUCGUGUUGAUAGUGCAUUGGCAUAAGCGUGCUUGACUGCGAGACUGACAAGUCGAGCAGGUACGAAAGUAGGACAAAGUGAUCCGGUGGUUCUGUAUGGAAGGGCCAUCGCUCAACGGAUAAAAGGUACUCUGGGGAUAACAGGCUGAUACCGCCCAAGAGUUCAUAUCGACGGCGGUGUUUGGCACCUCGAUGUCGGCUCAUCUCAUCCUGGGGCCGUAGCCGGUCCCAAGGGUAUGGCUGUUCGCCAUUUAAAGAGGUACGUGAGCUGGGUUUAAAACGUCGUGAGACAGUUUGGUCCCUA